This 782-nucleotide ribosomal RNA is filed under the name uncultured bacterium. RNAcentral describes it as "bacterial SSU rRNA". It matches the Rfam family "Bacterial small subunit ribosomal RNA", at positions 28 to 803 of the family's 1533-position model. The record is from RNAcentral.
AUUGAACGCUGGCGGCAGGCUUAACACAUGCAAGUCGAGCGGAAACGAUACCAGCUUGCUGGUAGGCGUCGAGCGGCGGACGGGUGAGUAACACUUAGGAAUCUACCUAGUAGUGGGGGAUAGCUCGGGGAAACUCGAAUUAAUACCGCAUACGACCUACGGGAGAAAGGGGGCAACUUGUUGCUCUCGCUAUUAGAUGAGCCUAAGUCGGAUUAGCUAGUUGGUGGGGUAAAGGCCUACCAAGGCGACGAUCUGUAGCUGGUCUGAGAGGAUGAUCAGCCACACCGGGACUGAGACACGGCCCGGACUCCUACGGGAGGCAGCAGUGGGGAAUAUUGGACAAUGGGGGCAACCCUGAUCCAGCCAUGCCGCGUGUGUGAAGAAGGCCUUUUGGUUGUAAAGCACUUUAAGCAGUGAAGAAGACCAUAUGGUUAAUACCCAUAUGCGAUGACAUUAGCUGCAGAAUAAGCACCGGCUAACUCUGUGCCAGCAGCCGCGGUAAUACAGAGGGUGCAAGCGUUAAUCGGAAUUACUGGGCGUAAAGCGAGCGUAGGUGGCUUGAUAAGUCAGAUGUGAAAUCCCCGGGCUUAACCUGGGAACUGCAUCUGAUACUGUUAGGCUAGAAUAGGUGAGAGGAAGGUAGAAUUCCAGGUGUAGCGGUGAAAUGCGUAGAGAUCUGGAGGAAUACCGAUGGCGAAGGCAGCCUUCUGGCAUCAUAUUGACACUGAGGUUCGAAAGCGUGGGUAGCAAACAGGAUUAGAUACCCUGGUAGUCCACGCCGU